AUGUGUAUUUUCAAUCAAGCUCUUCUCGCAAAACAAGCAUGGCGACUUGUCCAAAGACCUGACAAUCUAUAUGCUAGGGUUCUAAAAGCAAAAUACUACCCAAAAGGAAAUUUGUUGGGCACGGUCUUCACCUCUGAUGGAUCUCCCGUGUGGCGUGGAAUUGAGUAUGGGCUUGAACUCUUGAAAAAGGGAGUGGUUUGGAGAGUGGGAAAUGGAAAGAGUAUCCAAAUCCUUCGUGACAACUGGAUACCUCGGCAAUCUGGCCUUUCCAUACAAUCCAUGAAAACUAGAAGCCGGCUGAGGUGGGUAAACCAGUUGUUGCUUCCCCAUUCUAAUGACUGGAACAAGCAGAUCAUUGACAAGUUGUUCUACAAUUUUGACUCGGCAGAAAUAUACAGGAUCAAGCUCCCCUCAAGGCCUAUGGGGGCAUUCUAG
This 435-nucleotide ribosomal RNA is filed under the name Triticum aestivum (bread wheat). RNAcentral describes it as "partial small subunit ribosomal RNA". Lineage: Eukaryota; Viridiplantae; Streptophyta; Magnoliopsida; Poales; Poaceae. The record is from RNAcentral.